UGAAAUGCGAUAACUAGUGUGACUUGCAUUAUCUCGUGAAUCAUCGAGUCUUUGAACGCACCUUGCACCUUCCCGGUCUCCUGGAAGGUAUGCUUGUUUGAGUAUCAGCAUCACUACUCCCCACCCGCCAGGGCGGGGGAACUGAGGCCGCAAGCGGCACGCGCCGCCUGGACCUUGCAAUCGAUAUGCUGCACCGCCCCGCGCAAAUGUGAGAUAGACAUCGCACAGAGUCGCGGGCGCUGUGCAGCUACACGCUGCGGCGCACAGUACUACUACUAGCUGGUACUGCGUGUGUGUCGCCUUGCCUCUUGAUCUCAAAUCAAGCAAGACUACCCGCCGAACUUAA
This 346-nucleotide unclassified non-coding RNA is filed under the name uncultured fungus. Its description in RNAcentral is "sequence contains ITS1". The stretch from base 1 to 107 matches the Rfam family "5.8S ribosomal RNA", at positions 49 to 154 of the family's 154-position model. The record is from RNAcentral. Lineage: Eukaryota; Fungi.